GAGUUAUUGAGUCCAGGAAAUUUCUUCACAGCUUCCACCAAUCUAGAAUUUGGCCUCUUAAAAUAAGGACAGGUCAGCGUUGAAAUGGGCAAAGGCAUAUUCCACCAGCGCAGCAAAGACAAAGACGUAGCAGAUCCAGAAGUAGACGUCCAAAGCUUUUAUGGCCGAAGCCCUGGGAAGGGAAGAACGGGCGCUCACCAUCAAGGUGGUCAUGCCUACCAGCCUGGGAUCUCCCAUCCUAUUCCUAAUCAGAUCCAGCAAUCAGGCUCUAAAAAUCCCAUGGACUAGAUUCACAGAUCAUGUGAAGUCAUGGUUUGGUUAACUCUGAUUUCUUGGGGAAACUGCCGGGCCUGGGACUCAUUCCACACGCUCAAGCCCCAAUCCGUGAUUGACAAACUACAAAGGUGAGAUUCA
Molecule: long non-coding RNA, 414 nt
Organism: Candoia aspera
Lineage: Eukaryota; Metazoa; Chordata; Lepidosauria; Squamata; Candoiidae
Exons: 3
Source: RefSeq, a predicted model, not a curated record